GCGGCGGACGGGUGAGUAACACGUAGGCAACCUGCCCUCAAGCUUGGGACAACUACCGGAAACGGUAGCUAAUACCGAAUACUUGUUUUCUUCGCCUGAAGGGAACUGGAAAGACGGAGCAAUCUGUCACUUGAGGAUGGGCCUGCGGCGCAUUAGCUAGUUGGUGAGGUAACGGCUCACCAAGGCGACGAUGCGUAGCCGACCUGAGAGGGUGAUCGGCCACACUGGGACUGAGACACGGCCCAGACUCCUACGGGAGGCAGCAGUAGGGAAUCUUCCGCAAUGGGCGAAAGCCUGACGGAGCAAUGCCGCGUGAGUGAUGAAGGUUUUCGGAUCGUAAAGCUCUGUUGCCAGGGAAGAACGCUUGGGAGAGUAACUGCUCUCAAGGUGACGGUACCUGAGAAGAAAGCCCCGGCUAACUACGUGCCAGCAGCCGCGGUAAUACGUAGGGGGCAAGCGUUGUCCGGAAUUAUU
Molecule: ribosomal RNA, 474 nt
Filed under: Paenibacillus sp. NN32
Lineage: Bacteria; Bacillati; Bacillota; Bacilli; Caryophanales; Paenibacillaceae
Description: bacterial SSU rRNA
Rfam family: Bacterial small subunit ribosomal RNA
Source: RNAcentral